RNAcentral lists this ribosomal RNA (2929 nucleotides) under Bacillus thuringiensis serovar kurstaki str. HD-1. RNAcentral's name for it is "bacterial LSU rRNA". It matches the Rfam family "Bacterial large subunit ribosomal RNA". The record is from RNAcentral. Lineage: Bacteria; Bacillati; Bacillota; Bacilli; Caryophanales; Bacillaceae.
GGUUAAGUUAGAAAGGGCGCACGGUGGAUGCCUUGACACUAGGAGUCGAUGAAGGACGGGACUAACGCCGAUAUGCUUCGGGGAGCUGUAAGUAAGCUUUGAUCCGAAGAUUUCCGAAUGGGGAAACCCACCAUACGUAAUGGUAUGGUAUCCUUAUCUGAAUACAUAGGGUAAGGAAGACAGACCCAGGGAACUGAAACAUCUAAGUACCUGGAGGAAGAGAAAGCAAAUGCGAUUUCCUGAGUAGCGGCGAGCGAAACGGAACAUAGCCCAAACCAAGAGGCUUGCCUCUUGGGGUUGUAGGACAUUCUAUACGGAGUUACAAAGGAACGAGGUAGACGAAGCGACCUGGAAAGGUCCGUCGUAGAGGGUAACAACCCCGUAGUCGAAACUUCGUUCUCUCUUGAAUGUAUCCUGAGUACGGCGGAACACGUGAAAUUCCGUCGGAAUCUGGGAGGACCAUCUCCCAAGGCUAAAUACUCCCUAGUGAUCGAUAGUGAACCAGUACCGUGAGGGAAAGGUGAAAAGCACCCCGGAAGGGGAGUGAAAGAGAUCCUGAAACCGUGUGCCUACAAAUAGUCAGAGCCCGUUAACGGGUGAUGGCGUGCCUUUUGUAGAAUGAACCGGCGAGUUACGAUCCCGUGCGAGGUUAAGCUGAAGAGGCGGAGCCGCAGCGAAAGCGAGUCUGAAUAGGGCGUUUAGUACGUGGUCGUAGACCCGAAACCAGGUGAUCUACCCAUGUCCAGGGUGAAGUUCAGGUAACACUGAAUGGAGGCCCGAACCCACGCACGUUGAAAAGUGCGGGGAUGAGGUGUGGGUAGCGGAGAAAUUCCAAUCGAACCUGGAGAUAGCUGGUUCUCCCCGAAAUAGCUUUAGGGCUAGCCUUAAGUGUAAGAGUCUUGGAGGUAGAGCACUGAUUGGACUAGGGGUCCUCAUCGGAUUACCGGAAUUCAGUCAAACUCCGAAUGCCAAUGACUUAUCCUUAGGAGUCAGACUGCGAGUGAUAAGAUCCGUAGUCAAAAGGGAAACAGCCCAGACCGCCAGCUAAGGUCCCAAAAGUGUGUAUUAAGUGGAAAAGGGAUGUGGAAGUUGCUUAGACAACUAGGAUGUUGGCUUAGAAAGCAGCCACCAUUUAAAGAGUGCGUAAUAGCUCACUAGUCGAGUGACUCUGCGCCGAAAAUGUACCGGGGCUAAAUACACCACCGAAGCUGCGGAUUGAUACCGAAUGGUAUCAGUGGUAGGGGAGCGUUCUAAGGACAGUGAAGUCAGACCGUAAGGACUGGUGGAGUGCUUAGAAGUGAGAAUGCCGGUAUGAGUAGCGAAAGACGGGUGAGAAUCCCGUCCACCGAAUGCCUAAGGUUUCCUGAGGAAGGCUCGUCCGCUCAGGGUUAGUCAGGACCUAAGCCGAGGCCGACAGGCGUAGGCGAUGGACAACAGGUUGAUAUUCCUGUACCACCUCUUUAUCGUUUGAGCAAUGGAGGGACGCAGAAGGAUAGAAGAAGCGUGCGAUUGGUUGUGCACGUCCAAGCAGUUAGGCUGAUAAGUAGGCAAAUCCGCUUAUCAUAAAGGCUGAGCUGUGAUGGGGAAGCUCCUUAUGGAGCGAAGUCUUUGAUUCCCCGCUGCCAAGAAAAGCUUCUAGCGAGAUAAAAGGUGCCUGUACCGCAAACCGACACAGGUAGGCGAGGAGAGAAUCCUAAGGUGUGCGAGAGAACUCUGGUUAAGGAACUCGGCAAAAUGACCCCGUAACUUCGGGAGAAGGGGUGCUUUCUUAACGGAAAGCCGCAGUGAAUAGGCCCAAGCGACUGUUUAGCAAAAACACAGCUCUCUGCGAAGCCGUAAGGCGAAGUAUAGGGGGUGACACCUGCCCGGUGCUGGAAGGUUAAGGAGAGGGGUUAGCGUAAGCGAAGCUCUGAACUGAAGCCCCAGUAAACGGCGGCCGUAACUAUAACGGUCCUAAGGUAGCGAAAUUCCUUGUCGGGUAAGUUCCGACCCGCACGAAAGGUGUAACGAUUUGGGCACUGUCUCAACCAGAGACUCGGUGAAAUUAUAGUACCUGUGAAGAUGCAGGUUACCCGCGACAGGACGGAAAGACCCCGUGGAGCUUUACUGUAGCCUGAUAUUGAAUUUUGGUACAGUUUGUACAGGAUAGGCGGGAGCCAUUGAAACCGGAGCGCUAGCUUCGGUGGAGGCGCUGGUGGGAAACCGCCCUGACUGUAUUGAAAUUCUAACCUACGGGUCUUAUCGACCCGGGAGACAGUGUCAGGUGGGCAGUUUGACUGGGGCGGUCGCCUCCUAAAGUGUAACGGAGGCGCCCAAAGGUUCCCUCAGAAUGGUUGGAAAUCAUUCGUAGAGUGCAAAGGCAUAAGGGAGCUUGACUGCGAGACCUACAAGUCGAGCAGGGACGAAAGUCGGGCUUAGUGAUCCGGUGGUUCCGCAUGGAAGGGCCAUCGCUCAACGGAUAAAAGCUACCCCGGGGAUAACAGGCUUAUCUCCCCCAAGAGUCCACAUCGACGGGGAGGUUUGGCACCUCGAUGUCGGCUCAUCGCAUCCUGGGGCUGUAGUCGGUCCCAAGGGUUGGGCUGUUCGCCCAUUAAAGCGGUACGCGAGCUGGGUUCAGAACGUCGUGAGACAGUUCGGUCCCUAUCCGUCGUGGGCGUAGGAAAUUUGAGAGGAGCUGUCCUUAGUACGAGAGGACCGGGAUGGACGCACCGCUGGUGUACCAGUUGUUCUGCCAAGGGCAUAGCUGGGUAGCUAUGUGCGGAAGGGAUAAGUGCUGAAAGCAUCUAAGCAUGAAGCCCCCCUCAAGAUGAGAUUUCCCAUAGCGUAAGCUAGUAAGAUCCCUGAAAGAUGAUCAGGUUGAUAGGUUCGAGGUGGAAGCAUGGUGACAUGUGGAGCUGACGAAUACUAAUAGAUCGAGGACUUAACCAUA